CUAAAGACUUCAAGGGCAUGUAUUUUAUCCUUAUGAGUGAGCAUUUCAGGUAGUAAGGAAAAAGCUGCAUUAUUUUUCAUAACCUAAUCUUGGGAUGCCAAAGCACAGAAAUCCAAUUCAUGCCAUCUCAGCAUGCAGGAUCUAGACUUCGAACAUUCAAGGGAGUCUGGAAGUGUUUGAAUGCUGGUCUUGUCAAAUAAUGAGGAACGACCAUUCCAGCAAAGAGCAGUCUAAAUAGAAGAGAAGCAGGACACAAUGCAGAUUCAACUGGAAUGACUUGUUAGUAGUCAAUACUUAUUUCAAACUUUCACGGUGACAGAAUGCCUUCUGUUUGCCAAUGCAAAAAAUCCUAUUAAGUGGCAAAUUAUAAAAUCUCCAAGUAGCACCCAGGGGGAAUUUUAACAAUACUCUAAGCUCUUCUCUCAGUUCCGGUAAUUAUUAAGGAUUA
Molecule: long non-coding RNA, 448 nt
Filed under: Pan troglodytes (chimpanzee)
Lineage: Eukaryota; Metazoa; Chordata; Mammalia; Primates; Hominidae
Description: long non-coding RNA NONPTRT014808
Source: RNAcentral